AUUCUAGAAAAUGUGGGCUUGAGAGCUCCCUGUCAAACUUCAGUGCAUUUCUGUGACUAAAAGUAUUGUAUUUUAUAGGAAAGGCACAUCCUUCAGAAAUGGACAAGAUUUAUUUGGACCCUAACAUGGAAAAUGAUAAUACAGAGAGCAUCAGAGGGAAAA
This is a long non-coding RNA of Dromaius novaehollandiae (emu), 162 nucleotides long. RefSeq lists it as uncharacterized. NCBI's taxonomy places the organism in Eukaryota, Metazoa, Chordata, Aves, Casuariiformes, Dromaiidae. The transcript is spliced from 3 exons. The record is from RefSeq and is a predicted model, not a curated record.